AUACGGAGGAUGCGAGCGUUAUCCGGAUUUAUUGGGUUUAAAGGGAGCGUAGGUGGGAUAUUAAGUCAGCUGUGAAAGUUUGGGGCUCAACCUUAAAAUUGCAGUUGAUACUGGUUUCCUUGAGUACGGUACAGGUGGGCGGAAUUCGUGGUGUAGCGGUGAAAUGCUUAGAUAUCACGAAGAACUCCGAUCGCGAAGGCAGCUCACCGGGCCGGAACUGACACUGAUGCUCGAAAGUGCAGGUAUCAAACAGGAUUAGAUACCCUGGUAGUCCGCACAGUAAACGAUGAAUACUCGCUGUUUGCGAUACACGGUAAGCGGCCAAGCGAAAGCGUUAAGUAUUCCACCUGGGGAGUACGCCGGCAACGGUGAAACUCAAAGGAAUUGACGGGG
RNAcentral lists this ribosomal RNA (393 nucleotides) under uncultured bacterium. RNAcentral's name for it is "partial 16S ribosomal RNA". It matches the Rfam family "Bacterial small subunit ribosomal RNA", at positions 523 to 918 of the family's 1533-position model. The record is from RNAcentral.